Molecule: ribosomal RNA, 292 nt
Filed under: uncultured bacterium
Lineage: Bacteria
Description: partial 16S ribosomal RNA
Rfam family: Bacterial small subunit ribosomal RNA
Source: RNAcentral
GUGCCAGCCGCCGCGGUAAUACGUAGGGGGCAAGCGUUGUCCGGAAUCAUUGGGCGUAAAGCGCGCGUAGGCGGCCCGGUAAGUCCGCUGUAAAAGUCAGGGGCUCAACCCUUGAACGCCGGUGGAUACUGCCGGGCUAGAGUCCGGAAGAGGCGAGUGGAAUUCCUGGUGUAGCGGUGGAAUGCGCAGAUAUCAGGAGGAACACCAAUAGCGAAGGCAGCUCGCUGGGACGGUACUGACGCUGAGGCGCGAAAGCGUGGGGAGCGAACAGGAUUAGAUACCCUCGUAGUCC